Archocentrus centrarchus (flier cichlid) is the source of this 2662-nucleotide long non-coding RNA. RefSeq lists it as uncharacterized. The transcript has 3 exons. The record is from RefSeq and is a predicted model, not a curated record. NCBI's taxonomy places the organism in Eukaryota, Metazoa, Chordata, Actinopteri, Cichliformes, Cichlidae.
AGCUCGGGGUCUCAGUGGCGCAGACAUUUUGAAGCGUGGAUCCUGGAGCUGCUCAGCUCAGAUCUUCUGCAGACCAUCAGUUUUCCUGAAUCCUGAAGUUCUUAGACUCUGAUUGGAGCGCUGAGAGGAUUCCCAGGACGAGAUCUUUGCUCUCUGAUACGACAGUGAAGAGCUUUAACCUGAGCAGAGUCUCCCUGACCAGAAGGUCAGAGGUCGAGCUGCUCAUCAGCCUGUGCAGAGGAAACUGCAGGAAAUGGCCUCACGUCCAAUAAAGAGAGACAGCAAAGAGCUGUCUCCUGAUUUUUCUGAAUUAAUGAAGAAACUUCUAGAACAAGCAGCUUCAUUCAUCCAACAGUUUGACAGCAGUGAACCAGAGAUGAGAAAGAUUGUAGAAGAGUUUCAGCAGCUUUCUAGAAAAAUCAAAAGAAUGCAGAAGGUGACAGAUAUCACAAGAACAGCAGGAGCUGUUGUUGGAGGAGUAGGAGUAGGAGUAGGAUUCUUGAUAGUCAUGGCUCCACUCACUGGAGGACUGAGUUUGCUUCCUGCUGGUGCAGCUGCUGCAGCUGCUACUGCUGCUGUAGGUGGAGCUGUUGUUGUUGGAGCCAAUAUAAAAAAACUUCUGUCUGAGAAAGGAGGUGCAGAGAAAGUAGAAAAAUGGGGAGAAGAAUUCAUUGCUUUAGUUGAACCAAUGAAGGAGAACCUGGAGAAGAUAAAGAUGACAUGUGAAAGUCUGGAGGAGAAAGCAGCUGAAACUCAGGCUGAAAACACUCAGGCUGACCUGGAGAAGUUUCAGAGGAUAUUCAAACAAGUUUCUGAGAUGAAGGAAAAAAGUAAAGGAGCUGUGAUUGAAUCUUUAUCAGUGCUGGAGAAGAUGGGUGAGAUAGGCAUGCUCAUUCUCAGUGUGAUCAGAGUCACUUCGACCCCUAAAGAAGAUGAAAAGUUAGGAAACACCAUCAGUCAGCUGGUCAGUGUGAGAAGGUUGUUAAUGAGUUUAAUGUGAUGAAGAACAAACUGAGAGAGUUUAGAGGACAUUAAAGAGAGUGACUACGUCACCUCCAUCCCUCCUCCUCUCCCACCUUCUACUUCCUGUGUCUGUGGACCUGCUGCAGUCAGAGGGACGUGAACUUCAUCAUCAUGGAGGUGAUGUUUCCUGUGUGUCUGUAAUCACAGCUACACCUGGACUCGAGUCUAACUGAUCACUCAGCUGUUCAUGUCCAGAAGAGCAGAAUCCACCAAUGAAUGCAGGACCAUCAGAGAGAGCUGCUCCUCCCUCCAGGUUCUCUGCUGAUCUCAGAGCAGCUUAAACAUGUGAUCAUUUCAUUGUUCCUGCAUUUUAUUAGUUAUGUAUUUACUGAUGCUGUAGUUUGUGUGUUACACUAAGAAGUACUGAGCAGGUUCAGCGUGCUUCAGUUUCUUUGCAGAACUCUGUUUAUUCAGCAGUUUGAUGUUGUAAAUAUUUGUUUCUCAGAUUAUUAUUAUUUCCUGUGGGAAGGAUGUUUCAUUUCAGCAGUUUGUCAGGUCCUUUCUCCAUGAAUUACCUGUGGUAACCAAGUCAUAGUAAAUAUAUAUAUCAAACAUGUUAUUAAUACUGGUGUAAACAUGUAAUCCUGUGUCUUGUCUGAAUCUGUUUGUUUUUAAUUCUCAGUGAUUUCUCUGAGUAAAUAUUGAUCGAUGACUCGGAGCAGUCGGGUAGGUCACUGCUCCUCCUGAUGAAGAUUAUUUGUACUUUAAUCACCUUAAAGCUCUGAUCACAGCUGCUUUAACCUGCAGGAGGGUCCUGCUGUCCUCCUGAGAACCCCCACACUACAGAAAUGACCUGUCUUUACAAAAAUGUGUGUAUGUGCUCAUGUGUGUGGGAGCUGGUGUGUAACAGUGCCACCUUGUGGUCAGAGGGGAUAUUUAUGGAAGCUUGAUUCCAGAACUGAAGAGAAAAUAUGGAAACCAGCUCGUUUAAAGGUUUCAUGAUCAAUAACAGUCUGUGCCUUUGUGGGCACAGACUGUUAUUGAUCACAACUGUCUGCUCUUCAUAACUCACCUGUUUAUAUUUAGGCUUGAACUUUGAAUCAUCAGGAUGGGGUCUCUGACAGGUGGAGUAAAUGAACAGGAUGUGAUUAGCAUUAAUGUGGUUCAUGCUCAGGUUGGUUCUCUGGGGCUGGGCUCAGUGUGGCUGCGGUACGUUUUUCCUCUUAACACUGAUGCACGUGUUUGAUCUGUAACAGUUCAGAGAUGAUCCUGAAUCAUUUUAAUGUUCUCUGUGAGGACAGACAGCAGCGCACACUCAGCACACACGCUGACGGGAAAGAGAAAUACAAUCAUUAUUGUUUCAGUUCCAUAAACAGAAUUUAUUCUGCUUGUUUCUCACUUUUAAUUUUGUGCCUCUCGCUAGAGGAGCUUUGCAUGAGUCAGUCUUUAUCACACUAGCUGCUUCUGCAGCCUGAAACAAGCUGUUCCUCUUAUUCCUCGAGGCCUUUAUUUUUGUAGGAACGAGUAUGGAAGUCAAACUGUUUCCACCUUUGAAGUAAACAUUUAUAACUUCAUGUGUUAUUCUAACAGUGAGGGACAGACAGCAGCAGCAGCUGUAUUGGCUCCACUGGUGUACAGAUACACAUACACUACCUACCUGUGCAGGUAUAAUCAAUAAAGAUUCUGAUGACAGGAAUUG